RNAcentral lists this ribosomal RNA (385 nucleotides) under uncultured Lactobacillus sp. Its description in RNAcentral is "bacterial SSU rRNA". It matches the Rfam family "Bacterial small subunit ribosomal RNA", at positions 167 to 525 of the family's 1533-position model. Lineage: Bacteria; Bacillati; Bacillota; Bacilli; Lactobacillales; Lactobacillaceae. The record is from RNAcentral.
UACCGGAUUAACAACAGAUGAUGCCUAUCAACUGUUUUAAAAGAAUGGUUCUGCUAUCACUCUUGGGAUGGACCUGCGGUGCAUUAGCUAGUUGGGUAGGGGUAACGGGCCUACCAAGGCGAUGAUGCAUAGCCCGAGUUGAGAGACUGAUCGGGCCACAUUGGGACUGAGACACGGCCCAAACUCCUACGGGAGGCAGCAGUAGGGGAAUCUUCCACAAUGGACGCAAAGUCUGAUGGAGCAACGCCGCGUGAGUGAAGAAGGGUUUCGGCUCGUAAAAGCUCUGUUGUUGGUGAAGAAGGACAGGGGUAGUAACUGACCUUUGUUUGACGGUAAUCAAUUAGAAAGUCACGGGCUAACUACGUCCCCAGCAGCCGCGGUAAAU